Long non-coding RNA from Aegilops tauschii subsp. strangulata, 2088 nucleotides. RefSeq lists it as uncharacterized. Lineage: Eukaryota; Viridiplantae; Streptophyta; Magnoliopsida; Poales; Poaceae. The record is from RefSeq and is a predicted model, not a curated record.
CAGGAAGCUGAAGGGCGAGAGGGUGGACUUCUCUAGCUGGGGGUCUCCCACAGGGCUCGACGCCAGGGACCCCUUCGAUCUCCACCAGAUUGGUGCUGCUCAAUCCGUGAGUUGCAUCUAAUUAUGCGUUGGACAACUCAACAAGUUGAUUCUGAGUCUAUUCUGGUGCACAGUCGGUCGAUGCUUUCUAAUGAUAUACAGAUCUUCUAAUAUUGUAGAGCGCUAACAAAAAGACUCGCUUCAAGUGCCAAGAAGAUCAUUUCUUGCAAGAUAAGGGUGGAUAAAUCGUACAAGCUGACUGCCUGCAACCGGGAACCCGAUAUAUGCCCGGAUUAAGGAAAGAGUACCUUGUUGAACCAACUCUUUGGGCCAAAUUUUAGGGAGAUGGAUGCGUUCAGGGGAAGACUAUAUACAAGCGGUUCAGCCAAGGAGGACUCAAGUUUGCAACCACCACAGAGAUAAGGCUAUGGAACAAUAGUGUGUGCCUGUUCUGUGCAAUUUUUCUCUCAUCGAGGGAAAAAAGAUUAUGCAGUCUAUUGCAUAUGUUCGGUUUGGAGGGAGCCUGUAGAUGAUGGUGAUAUGGUUUCGUUUUCAUUCGAUGACUUGUUCAAAUGAUUCAAAAUAAAUCCAAAGCCAUUUGUUGCCUCUUGAAUUUCAUGUUCUACCCCAUGCAGAAAAUCUCUCAUGGUAUGUAUAAAAGCGAAUAUUAUCUGUUGAUGAGCUUGUUGCUAUUUGGUACUGCCCAUUAUUAGUUCCCUAGGGCUGUAAAAACAAAAACUUCAUUUCUACCCUAUGAUUAUGUGUCAAAGAUGUUUUGUAGAUUUCAAUUUUGAUUUCUUUAUCUUCAACAUGGUUGAUUUAGUUUCUUACCUUGCCUAAAAGUUCAGGUUGGAAUGUUGCCGGUCCAGCCUAUGGAGAUAAUGUAUCUGUUAUAAUGUGAUCACGCCAGAAAUUAUUUAUUUGUUAUAACCUGCAACUCACUUUGUUAACUUCUGUAGCACCAUUUUUUUUGACAGUGGGUUAGACAGGUGUGGUUUUCAGGUUGAGUUGCAUAUUAGUUUUUUUAGUUUUCCUGUGUCGGUUUUUCUGGUCCAGCCUAUAAGUUACUUAGUUUGAUUACUGCAUCUACAGUUUAUUGCUGCUUCUACUUCUAUUUCUACUUUAUUUCUGUAUUUACAUUUGAAUUAUUUCUGCACUUACUUUAUUUCUACUUCUACUAUUUUUCUACACCUACAGUUUUAGUGCUUUAUCUGCUCGUGGAGCUAUGCCUAUGUUGUAUUGGGCUAAAGUUUGAUUGCUUGCAAGUGUAUGUUGAUGUUGAAUACUGGAGUAAGGAUGAUGAUCAAUGCUCUAAUGAACCUGCAUGAUGUAGCAUUACUAUUAGGAUAUAGGGUUAGGCACAUACUUUUUUUGACAAUGGGUAGACACGUGUGGUUUUCAGGUGUAGUUCCCUAUUGGUUUAAUUAGUUUUCUUGUGUUGAUUUCUCUUUUACUGUAAAGGAGAGGCUGGCUGCUCAUGGCAGCGCCGGAUCCGGUGGUCAGCCGUCGUCGUUGACUGUCCUCUUUGACGCAAGAGCACAUGGAGAAGGAGCUCGUGGUAGCGCUGGAUCCGGUGCCCAGCCGUUGCUGUUGCCUGUCCUCUUUGACGCGAGAGCACAUGGAGAAGGGGCUCGCGGCAGCGCUGGAGAACCGGUGGCCAGCCGUCGCCGUUGCCUGUCCUCUUUGACGUGAGAUCCACGCUGCUCCACUUCAUCCAGGUUCACCCGGCAUCAUGGAGCUUGACGAUGUUUCUGGCUAGUUUGCCACAUAACUUGCAGUCCAGGUCGUUGCCAUAUUCGGGUUCUAGGUCACAGAAACAAAAUUUAGAGUUAAUUUAUCUGGCUCAAAAUAUUUUGGCUCGGUAAUUUCCUGCACUAGAUACCCUUUUUUGUGAAUUCUACAAUUUGUAGCUUUGAGCACAACUGACAUUCGUUUUAGUCAACUUACAUUCCUGGAUGUUUUCAAACUUAUGUUAUAUUCGUAAGUUCAGGCUUGCACUUGGCUUUAUCAGAAUUCGAAUAUGCAGAACAUGUGUUGGAGAAGUGCCAG